Molecule: ribosomal RNA, 1343 nt
Filed under: uncultured bacterium
Lineage: Bacteria
Description: 16S ribosomal RNA
Rfam family: Bacterial small subunit ribosomal RNA
Source: RNAcentral
GACGAACGCUGGCGGCGUGCUUAACACAUGCAAGUCGAACGGAAAGGCCCUGCUUUUGUGGGGUGCUCGAGUGGCGAACGGGUGAGUAACACGUGAGUAACCUGCCCUUGACUUUGGGAUAACUUCAGGAAACUGGGGCUAAUACCGGAUAGGAGCUCCUGCUGCAUGGUGGGGGUUGGAAAGUUUCGGCGGUUGGGGAUGGACUCGCGGCUUAUCAGCUUGUUGGUGGGGUAGUGGCUUACCAAGGCUUUGACGGGUAGCCGGCCUGAGAGGGUGACCGGCCACAUUGGGACUGAGAUACGGCCCAGACUCCUACGGGAGGCAGCAGUGGGGAAUAUUGCACAAUGGGCGGAAGCCUGAUGCAGCAACGCCGCGUGCGGGAUGACGGCCUUCGGGUUGUAAACCGCUUUCGCCUGUGACGAAGCGUGAGUGACGGUAAUGGGUAAAGAAGCACCGGCUAACUACGUGCCAGCAGCCGCGGUGAUACGUAGGGUGCGAGCGUUGUCCGGAUUUAUUGGGCGUAAAGGGCUCGUAGGUGGUUGAUCGCGUCGGAAGUGUAAUCUUGGGGCUUAACCCUGAGCGUGCUUUCGAUACGGGUUGACUUGAGGAAGGUAGGGGAGAAUGGAAUUCCUGGUGGAGCGGUGGAAUGCGCAGAUAUCAGGAGGAACACCAGUGGCGAAGGCGGUUCUCUGGGCCUUUCCUGACGCUGAGGAGCGAAAGCGUGGGGAGCGAACAGGCUUAGAUACCCUGGUAGUCCACGCUGUAAACGGUGGGUACUAGGUGUGGGGUCCAUUCCACGGGUUCCGUGCCGUAGCUAACGCUUUAAGUACCCCGCCUGGGGAGUACGGCCGCAAGGCUAAAGCUCAAGGGAAUUGACGGGGCCCCGCACAAGCGGCGGAGCAUGCGGAUUAAUUCGAUGCAACGCGUAGAACCUUACCUGGGUUUGACAUGGAUCGGGAGCGCUCAGAGAUGGGUGUGCCUCUUUUGGGGUCGGUUCACAGGUGGUGCAUGGCUGUCGUCAGCUCGUGUCGUGAGAUGUUGGGUUAAGUCCCGCAACGAGCGCAACCCUUGUUCACUGUUGCCAGCACGUUAUGGUGGGGACUCAGUGGAGACCGCCGGGGUCAACUCGGAGGAAGGUGGGGAUGACGUCAAGUCAUCAUGCCCCUUAUGUCCAGGGCUUCACGCAUGCUACAAUGGCUGGUACAGAGAGUGGCGAGCCUGUGAGGGUGAGCGAAUCUCGGAAAGCCGGUCUCAGUUCGGAUUGGGGUCUGCAACUCGACCUCAUGAAGUCGGAGUCGCUAGUAAUCGCAGAUCAGCAACGCUGCGGUGAAUACGUUCCCGGG